This 497-nucleotide ribosomal RNA is filed under the name uncultured bacterium. Its description in RNAcentral is "partial 16S ribosomal RNA". It matches the Rfam family "Bacterial small subunit ribosomal RNA", at positions 28 to 507 of the family's 1533-position model. The record is from RNAcentral.
GAUGAACGCUGGCGGCGUGCCUAAUACAUGCAAGUCGAGCGAACAGACGAUGAGCUUGCUCCCCUGACGUUAGCGGCUGACGGGUGAGUAACACGUGGAUCACCUACCUAUAUGACUGGGAUAACUUCGGGAAACAGGAGCUAAUACCGGAGAAUAUAUUGAACCGCAUGGUGCAGUAGAUAAAGACGGUUUUGCUGUCACUUAUAGCUGGAUCCGGGCCGCAUUAGCUAGUUGGUAAGGGAACGGCUAACCAAGGCGACGAUACGUAGCUGACCUGAGAGGAUGAUCAGCCACACGGGAACUGAGACACGGUCCAGACUCCUACGGGAGGCAGCAGUGGGGAAUAUUGGACGAUGGGCGCAAGCCUGAUCCAGCCAUACCGCGUGGGUGAAGAAGGCCUUCGGCUUGUAGAGCCCUUUUGUUGGGAAAGAAAAGCAGCAGGUUAAUACCCCGCUGUUCUGACGGUACCCAAAGAAGAAGCACCGGCUAACUUCGUG